This 547-nucleotide ribosomal RNA is filed under the name Panonychus citri (citrus red mite). Its description in RNAcentral is "eukaryotic LSU rRNA". It matches the Rfam family "Eukaryotic large subunit ribosomal RNA", at positions 2326 to 2669 of the family's 3401-position model. The record is from RNAcentral. Lineage: Eukaryota; Metazoa; Arthropoda; Arachnida; Trombidiformes; Tetranychidae.
AACGAGAUUCCCACUGUCCCUAACUACUAUCUAGCGAAACCACAGCCAAGGGAACGGGCUUGGCAAAAUCAGCGGGGAAAGAAGACCCUGUUGAGCUUGACUCUAGUCUGACUUUGUGAAGAGACAUGAGAGGUGUAGCAUAAGUGGGAGCUUUGGGAUCAAUCUUGACUAGAGUUUCGGCUUUAGUUGAGACCCCUUUGCGCCAAUGAAAUACCACUACUCUCAUCGUUUCUUUACUUACACGGUAAAAAGGAAAUUGUGAUAGUGUCUCUCUCUUCUGGGCUUCGGUUCAUGAACGAGGAGGCCACCUAUCACUAAAUUCUAGAGCAAAAUGUGGUUCCAACCAUACAUGCCUUUGACACCUAAGGUUCUCUUGUUCUUUACGGGACUUGAGACUUUAAAGACAAAGGUUUGGUUGGUAACCCGUGUAACUUGUACUCACGUACAAGACCUACACAACCGCAUAAUCCCAACCGUGGACAUUGUCAGGUUGGGGGUUUGACUGGGGCGGUACAUCUGUCAAAAGGUAACGCAGGUGUCCUAAGGC